Molecule: ribosomal RNA, 486 nt
Filed under: uncultured bacterium
Lineage: Bacteria
Description: partial 16S ribosomal RNA
Rfam family: Bacterial small subunit ribosomal RNA
Source: RNAcentral
AUUGAACGCUGGCGGCAUGCCUUACACAUGCAAGUCGAACGGCAGCACGGGUGCUUGCACCUGGUGGCGAGUGGCGAACGGGUGAGUAAUACAUCUGAACAUGUCCUGUAGUGGGGGAUAGCCCGGCGAAAGCCGGAUUAAUACCGCAUACGAUCUACGGAGGAAAGCGGGGGCCCUUCGGGCCUCGCGCUAUGGGGUUGGCCGAUGGCUGAUUAGCUAGUUGGUGGGGUAAAGGCCUACCAAGGCGACGAUCAGUAGCUGGUCUGAGAGGACGACCAGCCACACUGGGACUGAGACACGGCCCAGACUCCUACGGGAGGCAGCAGUGGGGAAUUUUGGACAAUGGGCGAAAGCCUGAUCCAGCAAUGCCGCGUGUGUGAAGAAGGCCUUCGGGUUGUAAAGCACUUUUGUCCGGAAAGAAAUCCUUGGCCCUAAUACGGUCGGGGGAUGACGGUACCGGAAGAAUAAGCACCGGCUAACUACGUG